GACGAACGCUGGCGGCGUGCUUAACACAUGCAAGUCGAACGGUGAACCAGAGCUUGCUCUGGGGAUCAGUGGCGAACGGGUGAGUAACACGUGGGCAACCUGCCCCAGACUCUGGGAUAACCCCGGGAAACCGGAGCUAAUACCGGAUAUGACCACUUCGGACAUCCGAUGGUGGUGGAAAGUUUUUCGGUCUGGGAUGGGCCCGCGGCCUAUCAGCUAGUUGGUGGGGUAAUGGCCUACCAAGGCGACGACGGGUAGCCGGCCUGAGAGGGCGACCGGCCACACUGGAACUGAGACACGGUCCAGACUCCUACGGGAGGCAGCAGUGGGGAAUUUUGGACAAUGGGCGAAAGCCUGAUCCAGCCAUUCCGCGUGCAGGAUGAAGGCCCUCGGGUUGUAAACUGCUUUUGUACGGAACGAAAAGGCUCUUGCUAAUACCAGGAGUCCAUGACGGUACCGUAAGAAUAAGCACCGGCUAACUACGUGCCAGCAGCCGCGGUAAU
Molecule: ribosomal RNA, 503 nt
Filed under: uncultured bacterium
Lineage: Bacteria
Description: bacterial SSU rRNA
Rfam family: Bacterial small subunit ribosomal RNA
Source: RNAcentral